CAUGCAAGUCGAGCGGACAGAUGGGAGCUUGCUCCCUGAUGUUAGCGGCGGACGGGUGAGUAACACGUGGGUAACCUGCCUGUAAGACUGGGAUAACUCCGGGAAACCGGGGCUAAUACCGGAUGGUUGUUUGAACCGCAUGGUUCAAACAUAAAAGGUGGCUUCGGCUACCACUUACAGAUGGACCCGCGGCGCAUUAGCUAGUUGGUGAGGUAACGGCUCACCAAGGCAACGAUGCGUAGCCGACCUGAGAGGGUGAUCGGCCACACUGGGACUGAGACACGGCCCAGACUCCUACGGGAGGCAGCAGUAGGGAAUCUUCCGCAAUGGACGAAAGUCUGACGGAGCAACGCCGCGUGAGUGAUGAAGGUUUUCGGAUCGUAAAGCUCUGUUGUUAGGGAAGAACAAGUACCGUUCGAAUAGGGCGGUACCUUGACGGUACCUAACCAGAAAGCCACGGCUAACUACGUGCCAGCAGCCGCGGU
RNAcentral lists this ribosomal RNA (485 nucleotides) under uncultured bacterium. Its description in RNAcentral is "bacterial SSU rRNA". It matches the Rfam family "Bacterial small subunit ribosomal RNA", at positions 54 to 521 of the family's 1533-position model. The record is from RNAcentral.